Molecule: ribosomal RNA, 256 nt
Filed under: uncultured bacterium
Lineage: Bacteria
Description: partial 16S ribosomal RNA
Rfam family: Bacterial small subunit ribosomal RNA
Source: RNAcentral
UAAUACGUAGGUGGCAAGCGUUGUCCGGAUUUACUGGGCGUAAAGAAUGCGUAGGCGGAUACUUAAGUCAGAUGUGAAAUACCCGAGCUCAACUUGGGUGCUGCAUUUGAAACUGGGUAUCUAGAGUGCGGGAGAGGUAAGUGGAAUUCCUAGUGUAGCGGUGAAAUGCGUAGAGAUUAGGAAGAACACCAGUGGCGAAGGCGACUUACUGGACCGUAACUGACGCUGAGGCAUGAAAGCGUGGGGAGCAAACAGG